Sinocyclocheilus grahami is the source of this 234-nucleotide long non-coding RNA. RefSeq lists it as uncharacterized. The record is from RefSeq and is a predicted model, not a curated record. Lineage: Eukaryota; Metazoa; Chordata; Actinopteri; Cypriniformes; Cyprinidae. The transcript has 3 exons.
UCCAGUCAAAGUCACGCAUGUUAAAGAAGGAAAGUCCAGAGACACGGCGCUGGAGAUCUUCUGCUAUCUGAAUGAGAUCGGUGGAAAGCAUGGUGUGGGGAGAAUCGAUAUCGUGGAGAACCGCUUUAUUGGAAUGAAGUCCAGAGACGCAGACGCUGUAAAUUACAGGGUAGAGUGAAGCUGAGCAGCGGAUCCUGACAGACACGAUUGAUGCCUUUCCUCUUCUAUUAUCAU